AUGAGAAAAUCCAGCGCCGCCGCCGUCGCCAGGAAGCUCGCCUCCGACCUCGUAGGGAAGAAGAUACUGGGACUAUUUCUAAAUAGAAUAGCACCUGAACUUGCUUUGCUUGUACUAUUUGUCAAACAGCAAGAAAACAGGGGAUCAACAGCAUUUAAGGUGCCAGGUUUGAGAGGUGCAACAGUGAAAAUUGAACACGACAAAGCAUUUAAGGUGCCAGGUUUGAGAGGUGCAAUAGUGUCACCUCAGAAGAAUGUGGGCCUUGACGUCCAGGAUGGUGCAGUACAUGAAGCGCUCUAG
RNAcentral lists this ribosomal RNA (300 nucleotides) under Triticum aestivum (bread wheat). RNAcentral describes it as "partial small subunit ribosomal RNA". The record is from RNAcentral. Lineage: Eukaryota; Viridiplantae; Streptophyta; Magnoliopsida; Poales; Poaceae.